RNAcentral lists this transfer RNA (65 nucleotides) under Promethis valgipes. RNAcentral describes it as "tRNA-Leu". Lineage: Eukaryota; Metazoa; Arthropoda; Insecta; Coleoptera; Tenebrionidae. The record is from RNAcentral.
UCUAAUAUGGCAGAAAAGUGCAAUGGACUUAAACCCCAUACAUAAAGCUUAUGCUUUUUUUAGAA